AUUGAACGCUGGCGGCAGGCCUAACACAUGCAAGUCGAGCGGAGCGGCGGACGGGUGAGUAAUGCCUAGGAAUCUGCCUGGUAGUGGGGGAUAACGUCCGGAAACGGGCGCUAAUACCGCAUACUAUCAGAUGAGCCUAGGUCGGAUUAGCUAGUUGGUGGGGUAAAGGCCUCCCAAGGCGACGAUCCGUAACUGGUCUGAGAGGAUGAUCAGUCACACUGGAACUGAGAAACGGUCCAGACGCCUACGGGAGGCAGCAGUGGGGAAUAUUGGACAAUGGGCGAAAGCCUGAUGCAGCCAUGCCGCGUGUAGGAAGAAGGUUUUCGGAUCGUAAAACUCUUUUGUUGGGGAAGCGGUAUCUAACCAGAAAGCAACGGCUAACUACGUGCCAGCAGCCGCGGUAAUAC
This 407-nucleotide ribosomal RNA is filed under the name uncultured bacterium. RNAcentral's name for it is "partial 16S ribosomal RNA". It matches the Rfam family "Bacterial small subunit ribosomal RNA", at positions 30 to 526 of the family's 1533-position model. The record is from RNAcentral.